AUCCCAUGAUGAGGACAGGCGGCCACGUACUCCUGUAGACGUUCCCAUGCUUCCGGAAUGGAUUCAUCCCGCAUCUGCUGGUAGCUCGAAAUUCUCCCACGAAGGGC
Molecule: small nucleolar RNA, 107 nt
Organism: Oryza rufipogon (brownbeard rice)
Lineage: Eukaryota; Viridiplantae; Streptophyta; Magnoliopsida; Poales; Poaceae
Rfam family: Plant small nucleolar RNA R71
About the family: R71 is a member of the C/D box family of snoRNAs containing the C (UGAUGA) and D (CUGA) box motifs. Multiple nearly identical copies of this snoRNA have been identified in Arabidopsis, and it is thought to function as a 2'-O-ribose methylation guide for 18S ribosomal RNA.
Source: Rfam